AACGAACGCUGGCGGCGUGCCUAACACAUGCAAGUCGAGGGAGAAAGGGAGCUUCGGCUCCCGAGUAAACCGGCGCACGGGUGAGUAAUACGUAGGUAACGUACCUUCGAGUCUGGGAUAACCGGUCGAAAGACUGGCUAAUACCGGAUACGACCGAGGGGGCUUCGGCUCUCACGGUGAAAGAUGGCCUCUGCUUGCACGCUAUCACUCGAGGAGCGGCCUGCGCACCAUUAGCAGUUGGUGAGGUAACGGCUCACCAAGGCUGAGAUGGUUAGCUGGUCUGAGAGGAUGGCCAGCCACACUGGGACUGAGACACGGCCCAGACUCCUACGGGAGGCAGCAGUGGGGGAAUAUUGCGCAAUGGGCGAAAGCCUGACGCAGCGACGCCGCGUGAGGGAUGACGGCCU
RNAcentral lists this ribosomal RNA (407 nucleotides) under uncultured bacterium. RNAcentral's name for it is "bacterial SSU rRNA". It matches the Rfam family "Bacterial small subunit ribosomal RNA", at positions 29 to 417 of the family's 1533-position model. The record is from RNAcentral.